Molecule: ribosomal RNA, 253 nt
Filed under: uncultured bacterium
Lineage: Bacteria
Description: partial 16S ribosomal RNA
Rfam family: Bacterial small subunit ribosomal RNA
Source: RNAcentral
UACGAAGGGGGCUAGCGUUGCUCGGAAUCACUGGGCGUAAAGCGCACGUAGGCGGAUUGUUAAGUCAGGGGUGAAAUCCUGGAGCUCAACUCCAGAACUGCCUUUGAUACUGGCGAUCUCGAGUCCGGGAGAGGUGAGUGGAACUGCGAGUGUAGAGGUGAAAUUCGUAGAUAUUCGCAAGAACACCAGUGGCGAAGGCGGCUCACUGGCCCGGUACUGACGCUGAGGUGCGAGAGCGUGGGGAGCGAACCGG